Molecule: long non-coding RNA, 942 nt
Organism: Brassica napus (rape)
Lineage: Eukaryota; Viridiplantae; Streptophyta; Magnoliopsida; Brassicales; Brassicaceae
Exons: 4
Source: RefSeq, a predicted model, not a curated record
CGUGUGAGAGAGAUAGAUGCGAUUUGAGAAAAAAAAAAGAGAAAGAGAGAGAGAGGCUCGACGCCCUAGCAAAUCUCGGCCUCCUUCUCUUCUUCUUCUCUCGUCGGCCUCGAGAAUGAUCUGAAAUCUCUCCGCCGCACCAGCCAAAAAGUGAUUUCCAUCGCAGCCACCAGAAUCCUCCUCCCUUUCGCGAUUGGCGUCGUCACCUCCUUCCCUUUCCCGGAAGUUUCUUCACCGGAAUCUGUACCUUCACCACCACCACCACCACCAUCGCUCCCAUCCACCAUCGCUUCUCAGAUCCGUCUUCACCGGAGUAGCCACCACCACCGUCACGCUCAUCAUAACCACCGCUCAGCUCUCUGUCUCUCACUUUCUGUUUCUUGUUCUCUCUACAUUGAGAAAGAAGCACGAGGCGCUCACCAGUGGCAGUUCUUUUACCAAAUCUAAAAGCAUUGCUUCAGGUCUCGUGUUUUGGCUGGUAAAUCUGCUGGAGCUUAAGUGAUUGUUGUUCUUUCUCUGCCUAAACAGACGCAUCUUUGCGUUGCGCGUUUCCAGGGAUAGAGAACAGUUUAUCAAAGGAUUUGGCUGUGGCUCUAAAUGACUCGGAACCCCCUAGUGGUGAAUUUUUUAAGCGUAGGUGAUCUGACAAGGCGAAGCUUCAUGGAGAGCUUGAUACUGGAAGAAGACAGAGGCUAAGUCCUUUGGUGCUUUCUUAUACCUUUGGUGAUACUGGAAGAAGACAGAUGGAGUUGGUUCAGAAGCGAGGGAAGAGAGAUAGAUGAGAAGCUUGAGGGUGGUGGAAGAGCAGAGAUGUUAAGGAUGAUUGUAAGGGUUAUUAGUGGUAUAUUGAUAGUAUGUUUGAUAGGUUUUGAUGGUUUGUGUAAAGAGAAAAAUGUUUUAUGGUUUUGUAAACAUGUAAAUAUUUAUUAGUUUUUACAAGUA